RNAcentral lists this ribosomal RNA (467 nucleotides) under uncultured bacterium. Its description in RNAcentral is "partial 16S ribosomal RNA". It matches the Rfam family "Bacterial small subunit ribosomal RNA", at positions 28 to 507 of the family's 1533-position model. The record is from RNAcentral.
GACGAACGCUGGCGGCGUGCUUAACACAUGCAAGUCGAACGGAAAGGCCUCAGCUUGCUGGGAUACUCGAGUGGCGAACGGGUGAGUAACACGUGGGUGAUCUGCCUUGCACUCUGGGAUAAGCUUGGGAAACUGGGUCUAAUACCGGAUAUGAACUGCCUUUAGUAUGGUGGUUGGAAAGUUUUUUCGGUGCAAGAUGAGCUCGCGGCCUAUCAGCUUGUUGGUGGGGUAAUGGCCUACCAAGGCGUCGACGGGUAGCCGGCCUGAGAGGGUGUACGGCCACAUUGGGACUGAGAUACGGCCCAGACUCCUACGGGAGGCAGCAGUGGGGAAUAUUGCACAAUGGGCGGAAGCCUGAUGCAGCGACGCCGCGUGGGGGAUGACGGCCUUCGGGUUGUAAACUCCUUUCGACAGGGACGAAGCUUUUUGUGACGGUACCUGUAGAAGAAGCACCGGCUAACUACGUG